This 253-nucleotide ribosomal RNA is filed under the name uncultured bacterium. Its description in RNAcentral is "partial 16S ribosomal RNA". It matches the Rfam family "Bacterial small subunit ribosomal RNA", at positions 524 to 776 of the family's 1533-position model. The record is from RNAcentral.
UACGUAGGGUGCGAGCGUUAAUCGGAAUUACUGGGCGUAAAGCGUGCGCAGGCGGCUUUGCAAGUCAGAUGUGAAAUCCCCGGGCUCAACCUGGGAACUGCAUUUGUGACUGCAAGGCUAGAGUACGGCAGAGGGGGAUGGAAUUCCGCGUGUAGCAGUGAAAUGCGUAGAUAUGCGGAGGAACACCAAUGGCGAAGGCAAUCCCCUGGGCCUGUACUGACGCUCAUGCACGAAAGCGUGGGGAGCAAACAGG